AGUUAUGGCGGGCUGCGUGGGGAGACCUUCGGGUCUGCCGGUUUCUCCUUUGACCGGUUCGCCAACCCUGCGCAGUCCGCCCCCAUC
RNAcentral lists this non-coding RNA (87 nucleotides) under Halomonas organivorans. The record is from RNAcentral. Lineage: Bacteria; Pseudomonadati; Pseudomonadota; Gammaproteobacteria; Oceanospirillales; Halomonadaceae.